RNAcentral lists this ribosomal RNA (1483 nucleotides) under uncultured bacterium. RNAcentral's name for it is "bacterial SSU rRNA". It matches the Rfam family "Bacterial small subunit ribosomal RNA". The record is from RNAcentral.
GAGUUUGAUCCUGGCUCAGGGUGAACGCUGGCGGCGUGCUUGACACAUGCAAGUCGAACGUGUGCAAACAAGAGUGGCGAACGGGUGAGUAACACGUGGGAACGUACCCUACGCAGGGGGAUAACUGACCGAAAGGACAGCUAAUACCGCAUAAGACCGAAAGGUGAAAGGUGCAAAUGCAUCGGCGAAGGAGCGGCCCGCGGACCAUCAGCUAGUUGGUGGGGUAAGAGCCUACCAAGGCGACGACGGUUAGCGGCGUGAGAGCGUGGCCGGCCACAGGACACUGAGAUACGGGUCCUACUCCUACGGGAGGCAGCAGUGCGGAAUUUUGGACAAUGGGGGCAACCCUGAUCCAGCCAUGCCGCGUGCGGGAAGAAGGCCUUCGGGUUGUAAACCGCUUUUAGCCGGGAAGAAAAGGCGGCUCCUAAUACGGGCUGUUCUUGACGGUACCGGCGGAAUAAGCACCGGCUAACUACGUGCCAGCAGCCGCGGUAAUACGUAGGGUGCGAGCGUUAAUCGGAAUUACUGGGCGUAAAGCGUGCGCAGGCGGUUCGUUAAGUCUGAUGUGAAAGCCCCGGGCUCAACCUGGGAAYGGCAUUGGAWACUGGCGGGCUKGAGUGUGGCAGAGGGGGGUGGAAUUCCGCGUGUAGCAGUGAAAUGCGUAGAGAUGCGGAGGAACACCGAUGGCGAAGGCAGCCCCCUGGGCUGACACUGACGCUCAGGCACGAAAGCGUGGGGAGCAAACAGGAUUAGAUACCCUGGUAGUCCACGCCCUAAACGAUGAUCACUGGGUGUUCGGGGGGAUCUCUGRGUACCGUAGCUAACGCGUGAAGYGAUCCGCCUGGGGAGUACAGUCGCAAGAUUAAAACUCAAAGGAAUUGACGGGGACCCGCACAAGCGGUGGAUGAUGUGGAUUAAUUCGAUGCAACGCGAACAACCUUACCUACCCUUGACAUGUCGCGAAGCCGGUGAGAGCCGGGGUGCCGAAAGGAACGCGAACACAGGUGCUGCAUGGCUGUCGUCAGCUCGUGUCGUGAGAUGUUGGGUUAAGUCCCGCAACGAGCGCAACCCUUGUCCCUAGUUGCUACGGGCACUCUAGGGAGACUGCCGGUGACAAACCGGAGGAAGGUGGGGAUGACGUCAAGUCCUCAUGGCCCUUAUGGGUAGGGCUUCACACGUCAUACAAUGGUCGGUACAGAGGGUUGCCAAGCCGCGAGGUGGAGCCAAUCCCAGAAAGCCGAUCGUAGUCCGGAUUGCAGUCUGCAACUCGACUGCAUGAAGUCGGAAUCGCUAGUAAUCGCGGAUCAGAUGCCGCGGUGAAUACGUUCCCGGGUCUUGUACACACCGCCCGUCACACCAUGGGAGUGGGUGUACCAGAAGCAGGUAGGCUAACCGCAAGGAGGCCGCCUGCCACGGUGCGUUUCAUGACUGGGGUGAAGUCGUAACAAGGUAGCCGUAUCGGAAGGUGCGGCUGGAUCACCUC